This is an RNA transcript of Enhydra lutris kenyoni (northern sea otter), 2084 nucleotides long. It is a transcript of the gene named cleavage and polyadenylation specificity factor subunit 6 pseudogene, with no coding region annotated. The transcript has a single exon. The record is from RefSeq and is a predicted model, not a curated record. Lineage: Eukaryota; Metazoa; Chordata; Mammalia; Carnivora; Mustelidae.
AUGGCGGACGGUGUGGACCACAUAGACAUUUACGCGGAUGUGGGCAAAGAGUUCAACCAGGAAGCUGAAUACGGUGGGCAUGAUCAGGUAGAUUUGUAUGAUGAUGUCAUCUCUCCAUCUGCAAAUAAUGGAGAUGCCCCAGAAGACCGUGAUUACAUGGAUACUCUCCCACCAACUGUUGGUGAUGAUGUGGGUAAAGGAGCAGCACCAAAUGUUGUCUAUACGUAUACUGGAAAGAGAAUUGCAUUGUAUAUUGGAAACUUAACAUGGUGAACAACAGAUAAAGACUUAACUGAAGCAGUGCAUUCUUUGGGAGUAAAUGAUAUUUUGGAGAUAAAAUUCUUUGAAAACUGGGCAAAUGGCCAGUCAAAGGGGUUUGCCCUUGUUGGUGUUGGAUCUGAAGCAUCCUCAAAAAAGUUGAUGGAUCUGUUGCCUAAGAGAGAACUUCAUGGUCAGAAUCCUGUUGUAACUCCAUGCAAUAAACAGUUCCUGAGUCAAUUUGAAAUGCAGUCCAGGAAAACUACACAAUCAGGACAAAUGUCUGGGGAAGGUAAAGCUGGUCCUCCAGGAGGCAGUUCAUGUGCAGCAUUUCCACAAGGUGGUAGAGGAUGGGGCUGUUUUCCGGGGGCUGUUCCCGGUGGGGACAGAUUUCCUGGACCAGCAGGACCAGGAGGGCCACCCCCACCUUUUCCAGCUGGACAGACUCCACACAUCCACCCUUAGGUCCUCCAGGCCCACCUGGUCCACUGGGUCCUCCACCUCCUGGUCAGGUUCUGCCUCCUCCUUUAGCCAGGCCUCCUAAUCGAGGAGAUCACCCUUCACCACCAGUUCUUUUUCCUGGACAACAUUUUGGGCAGCCUCCAUUGGGUCCGCUUCCUCCUGGCCCUCCACCUCCAGUUCCAGGCUACGGCCCCCCUCCUGGUCCACCACCUCCACAGCAGGGACCACCUCCACCUCCAGGCCCUUUUCCACCUCGCCCACCUGGCCCUCUUGGGCCACCCCUUACAUUUGCUCCUCCUCCGCAUCUUCCUGGACCACCUCCAAGUGCUCCACUACCAGCUCCACAUGUGAAUCCGGCUUUCUUUCCUCCACCGACUAACAGCGGCAUGCCUACAUCAGAUAACCGGGGUCCACCACCAACAGAUCCAUAUGGCCGAUCCCCACCAUAUGAUAGGGGUGACUAUGGGCCUCCUGGAAGGGAAAUGGAUACUGCAAGAACGCCAUUGAGUGAAGCUGAGUUUGAAGAAAUCAUGAAUAGAAAUAGGGCAAUCUCAAGCAGUGCUAUUUUAAGAGCUGUGUCUGAUGCCAGUGCUGGUGAUUAUGGGAGUGCUAUUGAGACACUGGUAACUGCAAUUUCUUUAAUUAAACAAUCCAAAGUAUCUGCUGAUGAUCGUUGCAAAGUUCUUAUUAGCUCUUUGCAAGAUUGCCUUCAUGGAAUUGAAUCCAAGUCUUAUGGUUCUGGAUCAAGACAUGAACGAUCAAGAGAGAGGGAUCAUAGUAGAUCACAAGAAAAGAGUCGGCGUCAUAAAUCCCAUAGUAGAGAUCGUCAUGAUGAUUAUUAUAGAGAGAGAAGCAGAGAACGAGAGAGACAUCAGGACCGGGACCAAGAUCGGGACCGAGAACGGGACCAAGAGCGCGAGUAUCAUCAUCGUUAGAAGAAGCUGAAGGAAGAGGAACACCUUCCAAGACGAAACAGUCUUCAUGGGGGAAAAAUGACGCUUGUCCAGCAGUUUGCUUCUUGUGAUUGAACUGAACCUGUAAGGAUUCAUGGAUAAAAUGAAUAGGAAUAGAUCUGAAUAAAGCAAAUCUGCAUAAAUGAUAACCAGUAACUCUUAUUUUUUAUGUUGCUUAACUGUUUUAUUUGAAGGAAACCUGUGUGAUUUAAAAAGUUAUAGCUUUUGCAACUUUAUUACUGGUUAUAUACAUUUGGCCAUUAUAAUGUGCAAGCAAUUGGAAAAAAAAGUCAAGUAAAUGCUUGUUUUUAUAGUAGUUUGUUCUUGUUAAAAAUGUUCAUAUGAUAAUGUCUGUAAACAGCACCACUUUGAUUACAAUAGAUGUAGUGUUGUAAUAAACUGUUUAAUGGG